CCUACGGGGGGCUGCAGUGAGGAAUAUUGGUCAAUGGGCGGAAGCCUGAACCAGCCAUGCCGCGUGCAGGAAGACGGCCCUACGGGUUGUAAACUGCUUUUCUGCGGGAAGAACGGCCCCUACGCGUAGGGGUGUGACGGUACCGCAGGAAUAAGGAUCGGCUAACUCCGUGCCAGCAGCCGCGGUAAUACGGAGGAUCCGAGCGUUAUCCGGAUUUACUGGGUUUAAAGGGUGCGUAGGCGGCUCCCUCAGUCAGCGGUGAAAUGUAUCGGCUC
This 275-nucleotide ribosomal RNA is filed under the name uncultured bacterium. RNAcentral's name for it is "partial 16S ribosomal RNA". It matches the Rfam family "Bacterial small subunit ribosomal RNA", at positions 338 to 610 of the family's 1533-position model. The record is from RNAcentral.